Molecule: ribosomal RNA, 253 nt
Filed under: uncultured bacterium
Lineage: Bacteria
Description: partial 16S ribosomal RNA
Rfam family: Bacterial small subunit ribosomal RNA
Source: RNAcentral
UACGUAGGGCGCAAGCGUUGUCCGGAAUUAUUGGGCGUAAAGAGCUCGUAGGCGGUUUGUCGCGUCUGCUGUGAAAACCUGAGGCUCAACCUCGGGCUUGCAGUGGGUACGGGCAGACUAGAGUGCGGUAGGGGUGACUGGAAUUCCUGGUGUAGCGGUGGAAUGCGCAGAUAUCAGGAGGAACACCGAUGGCGAAGGCGGGAUCCUGGGCCAGUACUGACGCUGAGGAGCGAAAGCGUGGGGAGCAAACAGG